UCGGAGUUGCAGAAGGAGGGGAAGAAGAUUAUUUUCACAAAUGGCGGGAACCCUCAUGCUCUCGGAUAGAAGCCAUUAACAUUUCCCCGUCAGGUGGUAGCAUUGUGGCAAGCUCCAUUUCUAUUGGAUGACACUAAUGUCGGGCUUUUAUUCCCAGCAGAUGUCAUUGCAAGAGCUAAACAUUAUCUUUCAUUGAAUUCGGGUGGUUUAGGUGCAUAUAGUGAUUCUCGAGGACUUCCUGGAAUUAGGAAAGAA
Long non-coding RNA from Zingiber officinale, 255 nucleotides. RefSeq lists it as uncharacterized. The record is from RefSeq and is a predicted model, not a curated record. The transcript has 4 exons. NCBI's taxonomy places the organism in Eukaryota, Viridiplantae, Streptophyta, Magnoliopsida, Zingiberales, Zingiberaceae.